Molecule: ribosomal RNA, 266 nt
Filed under: uncultured bacterium
Lineage: Bacteria
Description: partial 16S ribosomal RNA
Rfam family: Bacterial small subunit ribosomal RNA
Source: RNAcentral
CAUUCGAGUGGCGGACGGGUGAGUAACGCGUGGGUAACCUGCCUUACACAGGGGGAUAACACCUGGAAACAGGUGCUAAUACCGCAUAAGCGCACAGGGCCGCAUGGCCCGGUGUGAAAAACUCCGGUGGUGUAAGACGGACCCGCGUCUGAUUAGCUUGUUGGCGGGGUAGAGGCCCACCAAGGCGACGAUCAGUAGCCGGCCUGAGAGGGUGGACGGCCACAUUGGGACUGAGACACGGCCCAAACUCCUACGGGAGGCAGCAG